RNAcentral lists this ribosomal RNA (1126 nucleotides) under Vaginatispora nypae. Its description in RNAcentral is "SSU rRNA". It matches the Rfam family "Eukaryotic small subunit ribosomal RNA", at positions 1 to 1146 of the family's 1831-position model. The record is from RNAcentral. Lineage: Eukaryota; Fungi; Ascomycota; Dothideomycetes; Pleosporales; Lophiostomataceae.
GUGUGUGUUUGUGUAUCUAAACACCUCUCAAGAUUAGUCCAUGCAUGUCUAAGUAUAAGCAAUUAUACCGUGAAACUGCGAAUGGCUCAUUAAAUCAGUUAUCGUUUAUUUGAUAGUACCUUACUACUUGGAUAACCGUGGUAAUUCUAGAGCUAAUACAUGCUAAAAACCCUGACUUCGGGAAGGGUGUAUUUAUUAGAUAAAAAACCAAUGCCCUUCGGGGCUCUUUGGUGAUUCAUGAUAACUUAACGGAUCGCAUGGCCUUGCGCCGGCGACGGUUCAUUCAAAUUUCUGCCCUAUCAACUUUCGAUGGUAAGGUAUUGGCUUACCAUGGUUUCAACGGGUAACGGGGAAUUAGGGUUCGAUUCCGGAGAGGGAGCCUGAGAAACGGCUACCACAUCCAAGGAAGGCAGCAGGCGCGCAAAUUACCCAAUCCCGACGCGGGGAGGUAGUGACAAUAAAUACUGAUACAGGGCUCUUUUGGGUCUUGUAAUCGGAAUGAGUACAAUUUAAACCUCUUAACGAGGAACAAUUGGAGGGCAAGUCUGGUGCCAGCAGCCGCGGUAAUUCCAGCUCCAAUAGCGUAUAUUAAAGUUGUUGCAGUUAAAAAGCUCGUAGUUGAAUCUUGGGCCUGGCUGGCCGGUCCGCCUCACCGCGUGUACUGGUCUGGCCGGGCCUUUCCUUCUGGAGAACCUCAUGCCCUUCAUUGGGUGUGUUGGGGAACCAGGACUUUUACUUUGAAAAAAUUAGAGUGUUCAAAGCAGGCCUUUGCUCGAAUACGUUAGCAUGGAAUAAUAGAAUAGGACGUGCGGUCCUAUUUUGUUGGUUUCUAGGACCGCCGUAAUGAUUAAUAGGGAUAGUCGGGGGCAUCAGUAUUCAAUUGUCAGAGGUGAAAUUCUUGGAUUUAUUGAAGACUAACUACUGCGAAAGCAUUUGCCAAGGAUGUUUUCAUUAAUCAGUGAACGAAAGUUAGGGGAUCGAAGACGAUCAGAUACCGUCGUAGUCUUAACCGUAAACUAUGCCGACUAGGGAUCGGGCGAUGUUUCAAUCUUGACUCGCUCGGCACCUUACGAGAAAUCAAAGUUUUUGGGGUUCUGGGGGGAGUAUGGUCGCAAGGCUGAACUAG